RNAcentral lists this ribosomal RNA (253 nucleotides) under uncultured bacterium. Its description in RNAcentral is "partial 16S ribosomal RNA". It matches the Rfam family "Bacterial small subunit ribosomal RNA", at positions 524 to 776 of the family's 1533-position model. The record is from RNAcentral.
UACGUAGGGCGCAAGCGUUAUCCGGAAUUAUUGGGCGUAAAGAGCUCGUAGGCGGUUUGUCGCGUCUGCCGUGAAAGUCCGGGGCUCAACUCCGGAUCUGCGGUGGGUACGGGCAGACUAGAGUGAUGUAGGGGAGACUGGAAUUCCUGGUGUAGCGGUGAAAAUGCGCAGAUAUCAGGAGGAACACCGAUGGCGAAGGCAGGUCUCUGGGCAUUAACUGACGCUGAGGAGCGAAAGCUGGGGAGCGAACAGG